RNAcentral lists this ribosomal RNA (254 nucleotides) under uncultured bacterium. RNAcentral describes it as "partial 16S ribosomal RNA". It matches the Rfam family "Bacterial small subunit ribosomal RNA", at positions 524 to 776 of the family's 1533-position model. The record is from RNAcentral.
UACGGGGGGCGCAAGCGUUGUUCGGAUUUACUGGGCGUAAAGGGCGCGUAGGCGGUCAGCACAGGUCAGUUGUGAAAUCUCCGGGCUUAACUCGGAAAGGUCAACUGAUACUGUGCGGCUAGAGUGCAGAAGGGGCAACUGGAAUUCUCGGUGUAGCGGUGAAAUGCGUAGAUAUCGAGAGGAACACCUGCGGCGAAGGCGGGUUGCUGGGCUGACACUGACGCUGAUGCGCGAAAGCCAGGGGAGCGAACGGG